Long non-coding RNA from Megalobrama amblycephala (Wuchang bream), 1095 nucleotides. RefSeq lists it as uncharacterized. The record is from RefSeq and is a predicted model, not a curated record. The transcript has 3 exons. NCBI's taxonomy places the organism in Eukaryota, Metazoa, Chordata, Actinopteri, Cypriniformes, Xenocyprididae.
GGUCACCAUGGGCCAAUAUUUUUUUUUUCUUUAAUGAAAAACAUGGGUGGUACCAAUGAUCCUGAACUCUUUGAAUUCAUCAUGGACUAUAUGAAAAGCGAUCAGCUGAGAAAUCUAGAAGAUGAAGAUCUUGAUUGGUUUCCCUUUCUGUUAGUCAUCAUGGGUUACUCUGCUGUCUCUAUUGACGCCUCCCCACCGGAAGUAUAAAAGGCGAUGUCGCAUCCAGAGCAGGAUAACGAUGUCACGUGACACACAUCAUGCUUCACAUAGUUCAUUUUGAUGUAUUAGUUCAUUAGAUCAGGAGUGUUGCCACUUGCUGUAAGUUUUGUUUGUUUAGUUAGAGUAGUUAAGUUAGGGUGUGUGAGUGGCACGCUGAAGAUGUUGCUUUGAUUUUUAUUUUGAAUAUUCUAGGUUAAAUUUAAAUCCUUUUUUCUUUUAAAUUUUGUUUUAUUUUGUUGUUUCGUUUGGUAACACUCGUGCUCUCUUAAUUAUUUAAUUUAGUGAGUUUGUAUUAUCUCAAAGUUUUCUUGUUUUUUUGUUUUGUUUAUUGUCAAUUGUAAAUAUAUGUUUUCGGACACAUUUAAAGUCUAUUUCUUGUUCUAUUGGUUGGGGGUUAAAAUGAAUAAAUGUCUUUUCUCUGUUUGAACUUGUGGUCCUCUUCACCACCUGCCCACUUUUAUUUGCACUAUUAGGUUAGAUCCAAAUUUGGUUAUAGAUUUUUGUGAAUGUUACAUUCUCUUAAUGUCCCUAGACAAAUCAAAGAAGUUUUGGGUCAUAACAGUGGGUCAUCAAUGACAGAACAGGUAUCUGGUUUGGUGAGGCUGACUGAUGUUUCUGCUUUAUUGCCUCGCAGAGAAUUCAAAACACAUGGUGGUGUAAUUUCAGAUUCUGAUUCAGACAGUGAUUCACACUGCAGAGUUACAGCAAUGUAUGCAAACAAAUUGAUGAGGGUUUAAAAGAAAAAUUCUCUGAAUCUGAAAUCAUAUGUGCAGUGUUAUGAAUGAUCAAACCAGGUAACUUUAAAGACAUGUUGACCAACAAAGAUGAUCUCACUGCUGCAAAACUGAAACGGUUCUUGAAGUUACAUAUGAGAGA